AAAUAGGCUCUUCUAAAGAGCCACUUAUCAUAUCUGUAGCGAUUUGU
This is a non-coding RNA of Callipepla squamata (scaled quail), 47 nucleotides long. Lineage: Eukaryota; Metazoa; Chordata; Aves; Galliformes; Odontophoridae. The record is from Rfam.